UCCCAGGACUGCCGGAGUCUGCCCUGCCUGAACGGGGGUACGUGUGCGAAGGGCGACGACUCCCACAUCUGCGACUGCGUAGCCGGGUUCAAGGGCAGGCAGUGUGAGCUGUUCUGCCAGCGAGUGCCCCACCCGUGUACCCGCCUUUACUCUGAAACAAAGAGCGUGCCCGUCUGGGUGGGCGAAGUCUGUCAUUACCUGUAUAAAAGGACGUAUAAAGUCCAGCAGGAUGUUUGCUAUCGAGAGAUCUGUGAACCACCGCUGCUUCCCAAGAAAAGCCCCAACAGAAGAACUAACAGGCAACAUUAAUGAAAGCUAAUCUUGGAUGACCCAUGUUGCCCCAGAGAUUGGCCUGUGUGAUGACCCAUGUUGUCCAGAGAUUGGCCUGUGUGAUGACCCAUGUUGCCCAGAGAUUGGCCUGUGUGAUGACCCAUGUUGCCCAGAGAUUGGCCUGUGUGAUGACCCAUGUUGCCCCAGAGAUUGGCCUGUGUGAUGACCCAUGUUACCCCAGAGAUUGGCCUGUGUGAUGACCCAUGUUGCCCAGAGAUUGGCCUGUGUGAUGACCCAUGUUGCCCAGAGAUUGGCCUGUGUGAUGACCCAUGUUGCCCCAGAGAUUGGCCUGUGUGAUGACCCAUGUUGCCAAGAGAUUGGCCUGUGUGAUGACCCAUGUUGCCCAGAGAUUGGCCUGUGUGAUGACCCAUGUUGCCCAGAGAUUGGCCUGUGUGAUGACCCAUGUUGCCCAGAGAUU
Salvelinus namaycush (lake trout) is the source of this 748-nucleotide long non-coding RNA. RefSeq lists it as uncharacterized. NCBI's taxonomy places the organism in Eukaryota, Metazoa, Chordata, Actinopteri, Salmoniformes, Salmonidae. The record is from RefSeq and is a predicted model, not a curated record. The transcript has 5 exons.